Bos taurus (domestic cattle) is the source of this 904-nucleotide long non-coding RNA. The record is from Ensembl. NCBI's taxonomy places the organism in Eukaryota, Metazoa, Chordata, Mammalia, Artiodactyla, Bovidae.
GCCCCGCCUUCUCUGCGGCUGCACCGCCCCGCGGGGGUUCGGUUCCGAGCGUCGCCUUCCUCUACGGUCUCCGUGUGGAGCCCGGCCGCGGGGUUCUAACGGUCCAGCCCGCAGGGACUCAGGACUGCGGUCUACCCCCGACCUCCUCACACCUUCCGGGGUGACCUGAGGGCGGAGCCUGAGUCCUGUGUCCCCGGUUGCACCGCCCCCAACCACCCCCGUCCCCUGUCGACCCCGUCUCCAGUCUCUUCCAAACCGGCCGGCCCCCGGCCUAGCAAUUCGAGAUUUCUCCCGUGGCUUCCGAGGAAAAGGAGGCCCCUACCCUGUAUCUGUGCCCUCCUUUGCAUCAGGGACCUAAACUGCUGUUUUGGAGAGGUUGUCUCUACCCCUCAGCUUGGUUGGUUUGAAACCCUGCACGACCUGUGAAGUCUUCCCCGGAUGGCUACAUCGUCUGGGGUCCCUUGUCCUGCCUGUACCCACAGCAAGCCCACGAAUCCAGGGCUUCCCUUGUUUCUGGAACAGCAGCCCUGAGGUUCUGUGGCUUCCCAGCUCUCAGCUGUCCCCCACCCCAGCGCCACCGCCCCUCAAAUGGGCCUUCACUUCUGCGCUGGGUCUCCUCACAGCCUCUCACCUGGCUGCCUGCCCAGUCUUCCCCACCCUAUCUCAGGAGAUCUUCCUAACUGGCAGGUCGAGGCACAACUUGGGGCAGCCAGCCCUGCAGGGGAAACUGUAUCCCCCAAGCGACUCCAGCUGGAUGUCAGGCCCUGAGAGAGGCAAGAGCUGAGCUGAGCUGCUUAGCUCCCCGACCAGAGAUCAAAUCCAGGCCCCCUGCAGCGGGAGCGCGGAGUCUAAGCCACUGGACCUGCAGGGAAGUCCCAGUCUGAUUGAUCCUCCACUCUUGUGA